UCAUUCCUUCAGUGUUGAAACAAUCUCUACUGAACAAGGCUUCAAAGUAAUUCACUGGAGUUUGUUUCAAUAUUGCAGGACUGGUAAGAUGAAGC
RNAcentral lists this microRNA precursor (95 nucleotides) under Otolemur garnettii (small-eared galago). RNAcentral describes it as "microRNA 653 (ENSOGAG00000017284.1)". The stretch from base 5 to 81 matches the Rfam family "mir-653 microRNA precursor family". The record is from RNAcentral. Lineage: Eukaryota; Metazoa; Chordata; Mammalia; Primates; Galagidae.